RNAcentral lists this ribosomal RNA (407 nucleotides) under uncultured bacterium. RNAcentral's name for it is "partial 16S ribosomal RNA". It matches the Rfam family "Bacterial small subunit ribosomal RNA", at positions 28 to 526 of the family's 1533-position model. The record is from RNAcentral.
GACGAACGCUGGCGGCGUGCCUAAUACAUGCAAGUAGAACGCAGUUGCGAACGGGUGAGUAACGCGUAGGUAACUGCCUCAUAGCGGGGGAUAACUAUUGGAAACGAUAGCUAAUACCGCAUACUGGGAGAUGGACCGGCGUUGCAUUAGCUAGUUGGUGAGGUAAAGGCUCACCAAGGCGACGAUACCUACUCGACCUGAGAGGGUGGUCGGCCACACUGGGAAUGGUGCCAGGGCCAGACUCCUUCGGGAGGCAACAGUAGGGAAUCAUCGGAAAUGGAGGGAAGUCUGGACGAAGAACGCCGGGUGAGUGGAGGAGGGUUUCGGGUCGUAAAGCUCUGUUGUUAGCGGAGCGGUAACUAACCAGAAAGGGACGGCUAACUACGUGCCAGCAGCCGCGGUAAUAC